GCUGAGCCACAACAGGAACUCCCAUUACUUUUCUUUUUAAACCCUGCUAUUCUGGCAUUUACCUGCCUCAUCUGCCUCAAAGAAUGCCUCCCAGGGGUGAACAGACGCUGCUCUCCCUAGCCUGGCCUCCUUCCAGACAAUCUGUGUCCCAAUCAUGUGGCUGGCGUGUCUGUGCCCGGCCCCGUGCUCCUACACGAGGGUGAGGCUGACCAGGGAGCGCCGGGCCCAUGCUCUGCUCCUCCCCGCCGAUUCUACACCAUCCGGGUGCCCCUCCCGCAGGAAGUUCUCUGCCAGCCUCGAAGGUUCCCAAACCCCACCAGAACCAAGCCUCUGAAACGGAACCCUCUCCCAGGGCUCUGACUGAGCACCCUCAGGCCAGGAAACGGAAUGCCUCUUUUUCUGUUAGGAUACAGGAAGAAGUCACUUCUCCUGCCUGUUCCUCAGCCAGAAAGCAGGACCCUGAACGACGCGCGUUCAGCUUCCACGGAAGGGAAUGAGGGAUGUGUGAAUCCCCCAAACACACUGCAUGCAGCAAGAAAACAGCCAGCCUUGGGAAAUAAUUCACCGGGGUGCAGGCACCGUUGCCUGUCCUAGCAAGCGGCCACCGCGCGCAAGCCACGUAGCCGUUCCUGCUCGUACGCGUUGGAGGGAGUGGUUGUGUCUUAUAAAACCGGGAAAGCUCAGGGAUCUGCAGGCAAGGAGGACUCCGAAGGCCGCUGCUGGCUGUGUGAACAGACCCCAGAAAUCACUUUCCUACCAAAAGAAAAAUGUCCUCAUGUACAGAAACAUCUGGACAACUGACACCCUUCCAGAGCAGAGGCAUCCUCCCAGGACGUCUCGGCCGAGCAGGGCGGGUGGACCAGCGACAAGGAUCAGACAGGCGGCUGAGAGCGGGCUGUCCAUUUGGGAAGACAAUACCCUCUCCCGCCCGACUACACGGUUAUUCAGCAAAUGUGUGCGGACUUGUUCUCGGUGUGAGGAUGGAGAGGAUGGAGCUCCCGACGGCGGUGCAGGGCGGGUGGAGCGGAGCCCAGCUGGGCGAUGUGCACAGUGGGGCCCAUCUGGCCGGGGACCUCGACACCCUAUUUCUCUUUGAACCCCCGGGCAGCCUCUUGAGACGGGCACCAGCACCCCUACUUUACAGACGAGAAAGCAAGGAACCAACCGUGUGGAGAGCAGGCCCGAGGUAGCCUUUUCCCACCUGUCCUCAGAAAGUCCAGAUCUACUCUUCCCCAGCCUUUAGCCCGGAAACAAUGCUUUGUUUCUUUUUCUUU
This is a long non-coding RNA of Phacochoerus africanus (Common warthog), 1274 nucleotides long. RefSeq lists it as uncharacterized. Lineage: Eukaryota; Metazoa; Chordata; Mammalia; Artiodactyla; Suidae. The record is from RefSeq and is a predicted model, not a curated record. The transcript has 2 exons.